Long non-coding RNA from Mustela erminea (ermine), 346 nucleotides. RefSeq lists it as uncharacterized. NCBI's taxonomy places the organism in Eukaryota, Metazoa, Chordata, Mammalia, Carnivora, Mustelidae. The record is from RefSeq and is a predicted model, not a curated record. The transcript is spliced from 3 exons.
AGGAGAGCUUGCCCGCCAGACACGUCCCCUCACUGGGCGGGUCAUGUCAGGCUUCCCCAACGACUCUGGCCCUUUGGCAAAAAGAAUCAAAAGGCCACGGAUGAACUAGGAAGGAGGCAGGAAGACACGCACUCCUCCCCGACCCUGGAGUCCCCGGUCCUGGGAAGGCCUCCGGUACCUCCCAGAACACUGCCCGCGGUACUCCACUGGACUGCGGUUCUGGACACGGAGCCCACGGAGGCCAAGUCCGAGGCUUCUCCAGCCAAGGAGCUAGACCCACUCCCAACUUCAGCAGCUCCGGAGGGGCACAUGGUGUCUGGAGUCACUUUGGCGGGAGACCGGGAGC